Molecule: long non-coding RNA, 704 nt
Filed under: Mytilus galloprovincialis (Mediterranean mussel)
Lineage: Eukaryota; Metazoa; Mollusca; Bivalvia; Mytilida; Mytilidae
Source: RNAcentral
GCGCGCUCACAUACCCCACGUCCCCACAUUGUCAUUGGAGAAAUAAAAUAUGUGUAAGAAAAAAAAUUGUAUAAGAAAAAAAAAUUGAGUCAUAAUUUCCUGUCAAUAUGCACAUCUACAUAGUUUGUCCUUAUUAUCUACAAAGUUUUUAUGAAAUUAUGUUGUGUGGUUUCAGAGGAGUUGCGAUGACAAACUGUUGCAGAAGUACAUUGAAACAAAUAAGUUCAAAGGGGCGCAACUCCUAGAAAAAAAAUUGAAUCAUAAUUUCCUGUCGAUAUGCACAUCUACAUAGUAUGUCCUUAUUAUCUGAAAAGGUUUCAUGAAAUUCUGUUCUGUGGUUUGAGAGGAGUUGCGAUGACAAAAGGUUGCAGUAGUAUAUUGGGCAAAUAUGUUCAAAGGGGCGUAACUCCUGGAAAAAAAAUUGAAUCGUAAUUUCCUGUCGAUAUGCACAUCUACGUAGUAUGUCCUUAUUAUCUGAAAAGGUUUCAUGAAAUUCUGUUGUGUGGUUUGAGAGGAGUUGCGAUGACAAACUGUUGCAGUAGUACAUUAAAGUAAAUAAGUUCAAAGGGGCGUAACUCCUAGAAAAAAAAUUGAAUCGCAAUUUCCUGUCGAUAUGCACAACUACAUAGUAUGUCCUUAUUAUCUGAAAAGGUUUCGUGAAAUUCUGUUGUGUGGUUUGAGAGGAGUUGCGAUGACAAACUUGC